GCCCCCGUAGCUCAGUGGAUAGAGUACCGGCCUCCGGAGCCGGGAGCCUGCGUUCGAAUCGCAGCGGGGGUA
This 72-nucleotide transfer RNA is filed under the name Anaerolineae bacterium. Its description in RNAcentral is "tRNA-Arg". It matches the Rfam family "tRNA". From Rfam's summary of the family: Transfer RNA (tRNA) molecules are approximately 80 nucleotides in length. RNAcentral also lists the same sequence under 1 other name. The record is from RNAcentral. Lineage: Bacteria; Bacillati; Chloroflexota; Anaerolineae.